CUGGGUUUAAUCUUCAUUUAUAUUUUAAUUAUUCUGAUAUUAUCUGACUGUGUCUCUUCCUAUUCGCUAUCACUUCUUCUUCCUCUUUCCCCCCUGAGUGAACUGCCUCCGUUUUGACGCAUGGAAACGUUUUUAAGUGGCAAAGAAGAAUUGAAUGAAAGAUGAUGCAUGCCACUUAAAAUGCCUGAGGGAGCAAGCGUAAUCUAAAUUGGAUAUAGAAGCUAUUAUUACACAACAUUAUGCGUUGUGGCGGACUAAUUGCGUGGCUGGGUGCGUUAAACAGUCAGUUAAUGUCGAGUGGCAGACAGGUUUCUGGAGCGCACAAGGUCAGCUGUACUGCUCCCAAGCCUUUAGUGGUAUACAGAAAAAUGCUUGAAGUAUUCAUGGGAUUUUUAACCAUUCUAAAUCUGUGUCCUAAACCGAUUAGUUGACACCAAUUUUUCUUUGAUGUAUUAGCUGAGGGCUUUUGCCACUUGGAAGCCAAUUGAAAUUCAAAACAGUUUUCGCUCCAAAUGCUGUGGGGAGAUCUGCUGCAAAUAAUGGAUGUAAUUUAUUUUUGACCUUGCUUUUUUCUUUUUUCUUUUUUUUUUUUUUCAAAAGGGAGGGUUGUUAAAUGAUUAAACAUAUGUGCACUAGCUCUCGACUAAACAACUAGCAUUUGAUUGGCUAUUAUUAGUUUUGCAUUAUAGAGCUGUAAAUUUCCAUAUUUCUUAAAGUGUUAUAUAAGUGAUAAACAUGACUAAAAUUGUUAUUGCUUUUUUUAAUGCCCAAUUCACUCUUAAAAAGUUGCUGUUCUUGGUGUUAUUUUUCCUAAAUGAAUUAAAAAAAUAAUAAUUGACUCUUUGUUUUUGUUUUUGAAUCCCAGAUCCAUGUUGAUGAAGUCACCAAGCAGUCAGUGAAAUGCACCCUAACCUUCAAACACACAAGCACACUUGCAAAUACACCUUAAGUUAAAUAACCUUUUUCACAUUUUGAAACGAUAAUUAAAAAACACAGGUGGAUAUAUACUCAAAAAGUCAGUUCUGUGUUUAUACACAGAACUGACUGUAAUAAUUUAUCAGUUUUUUAACUCUCUUAUAGUUUUUAAAUAUGCUGCAUUGCUGCUAUUCCCGGGUUUUUUAUUCGAGAUAGAAUCCCUUAAUGUUUUACUUAGUAUCACCACUUUUCCUCACACAAACUGAUGCCCAUGAUUCGAUGGGUUGAUUUGACUUUAAUAAUCAUACAAUUUACAUGAAGCACAAUAAUAUGGCUUUCAGGGGAGAGAAUCUAUUUUUUGAUCUCCUUUCUGUUCUUGUGAUCUCUUUUUCUUUUAUUGACCUGAAUGAAGAUGUAUGGAGUGAGAGUGUGUGUGUGUCUUCGGUUUCCUCCUGAUGGGGUAUAUCAGCUCCCCCCACUUCUCCCUACUCCCCACGAUCCCCGCAAGGCUGAAUGGCAGGCCUCUGGAUUGGCUAAGUGAUGAAAUGAUGACCCUAUUAUGGGAAGCGAUUCCAAAAUGAGAGAUAUCAGACGAAGAUUACACCCCUCUCUCACUGCCACGCCAUCCUCCUGCAAUACACUGCCAGCUGCGCAGAUGAUGAUUGAUUCGCUUGAGAUGGAUCACAGGAAGCACCCAUUGAUUUUUCUGUGUUUUAUCAAAAAUAUUUAUUUACAGUUGUAUCCAUAGGGUGUAUCCAGACUCAACCCAUACUUCGUUCUCCAAAUGGGGGUUGGUAUAAAAGAGAUAAUUCCCCCUGUUCCAUGACAAGACGAAUGACCUGAAGUAUUACUUCAGAAAUGAGUCAAUAGGCUCAGUGAGUAAAUGAAUAUUGAUUGGAUAUAAUGAAGCCUGAGUGUGAAUAUGAGCCCUGUUGCAGACUUCACUGCAGUGAUGCUGAACCUCUCCAACUGAAUAUUUUGCAGACCUGCAUGCACAGCUGGGACUAAAUACACCUCAUUCAGAUGAAUGAGAGAUUCUCCUCCACGACAUCACCUCUCCUCAUCUCCUUCCCAGCCACUUUGGCAAGUUGUGUUCUACCUCCUACUCACAGCACCAGCGGGGAGUGAGAACUGGGACUAAGAGGUUGAUUUGGGGCCUGCUACACUGUAAUCAAAUGAGACUGCUUAGGGGAGAGGAGAAGGAGGAGUCCCGGUAGCCAUGUUUCAUAAACACGGAAUGGGAAACAUCCUCAGCAUUAGAAAUUUAGAUUGCUGCUUUCCUCCUGCCACUCUGCAUUCCGCACGUGCCCGGUCGCAUUCUCCAUCUCCCAAUGCUGAGUAACCAUUUUGUCCGACAUCUGACACACUGCCCUGGGUUAUUGAGCCAGACGUGGAAAUCCAAAGCGGAGAUGCUCUCCUUAAUGCCUGACACCUGGUGCAGAUUUGGAAGGGAUUGCACUACAGGGUAUGCUUUACAAGUGGACGCUACUCUGGAGUGUUGCAGCUCACCUUACCGCUUGCAGUCACAUCUGCAGACUGUGCUGGAGCAGAAUGGCUAGCGAACAUAAACACAGCAAGGACAUCAAAGGCCGGCAGUCUUAUUUAUUGAUAUUAGUAAUGCAGCUGUCAUUCUGCAAUGAGAUCUGUCCUGUGUCUGGGUGAAUGCUGAUAAGAUGACACAAUGCAAAUAUGAAGUGUGAUGGAGCCGCCUUGGCAAGCAGGUACAGAGUGUGCAGGGACCAGCAUCCCAUAAUGACUAUUAGCUGGAUUUCACAGCCUGCUCCUGAUCUCUUUCAGUGACAGGGGCCUUUAUAAGAGGCUGGGUGUGUCACUGCCCCUCCUAAUGGCUCUCAUAUACAUGUGCACAUGCACCGAAAUGGCAUAUACACAAAGAGGAAUAUCAUACUUUGUACAAUAAGUGUAAUUCUAUUUGGCAUCAUUGUGAACUUAAAAAAAGACACUUUUUGUAUCACAAAAAUGCUGAUAGAUUUUCUCCUUUUUUAUUUAUUUAUUUAUUUUUAGGUUUUAUGAAUAAAUGAAAUCAGAUUGCUAUAUAUUCUAAGCUGGCCCACUGGCACAAUGAAACUGAACUUCAUAGUAGAAAUGAUCCUUUCAGCAUAUUAUCGAUACAUAAUGUAUUGUUAUCUUAAUUUCACCACUAGUCAUCUUUACCAUAUUGUCAUAUUCUUCACCACUGCUGUAAAGGCUCAUUUAGAUUCGCAGAAGCUUAAAGAGCUCUCUCAGUUGCUGCUUGUAUAAGCUUUUGAGAGAGUCCCGUUUUAUCACUGAUGUAGUAAUUUCACUUCAUCAGUCAGUUGUGACUAAAAAUACAUCAGGGAUUAGCUUCAUGGCCAGACUAUCUUCCACUGCUUUGAUAACAUAAUGGGGGCUAGUGCUUGUGGUUACAAUCAUCUGAUAUAGGUUCAUAACAUUCGAAACUACACUUACAAUACUACGGGCUUUUUGAAAGAGAAGAAUAGAGUGUGAUCUUCUUAAACUCUCAUGAAAAUUGUGUGUUUUCCCUUUUAAUUCCUUUGUAGGAGCAUUUUGCAAAGAUGAAAAUUCCUCCCACCCCCACUCGUUCCCCUUUCCAGUUUCUAUUCUACACAAAUUAGCUAUGGUCCUGGAGGGCAAAAUGACAAGAGGUUACUGGAAGACUAUGUGUUUAAUUAAUUGAAAAAUGCUUAAAUUGCUUUUACAGUUGUUAUGUGGAGUGAAAAAAGGGAAUCCAUGUUGCCAGUACUCAACCAUAAUUAGCACCCGCGGGAAUUAAAUAUUUAACAUUAGCUGUGUUGCGGCACUUAGGACACAAAUUUCUAUUUUAACUAUGAAAGCAAGCCUGUCUUAAGUGCAUGAGUCUGUGUGGACAGCUGUGCAAAGGGGAACAGCACAGGAUAUUUCAGCGAGACACCCCAGUGGCAUUUCGGGUCCUUCCACAUCACAUGUGUAAGAGAUAUGGCAGUUGUAUUCCCAGGGGUUAGGCAUUACUCAGAGUAUUUAGUUUUCUAAUUAGGCUGAGGGCCUUCGUCCAUGCCUACCACCACCAUGGGAGCCAAUGAGAAUUUCCUCUCUUAUAUGUCAACUCUGAGACACAGAAAGAGGGGAAAAAACGGGAAUGAAAAGAAGGAGAUAAUCAGGACGCAUGUGUGAAAAUGAGAGAGAUGUACACAUGGUUGAAGGAGAAAUAAAAGACCUGCAGAAAAGCCUUUGUUUAUUCCAACUUUAAUUACACAUUGCAUUUAAUGACUCCACUGGUGUGUUUGAGGCUGGAGAGGGAGAAGCUGUGGAGCCUUAAUGAUCUGUAGUAGUGGAUGUCAGCCGAGCCAUUGGAGACUUAAAGCCCAUUUUUAAAACUCCCUUUUUGUUUGGGCCUAGAGGCGACAGCGCAAAUGGAGUUCAUGCUAAGCCACACUAGGCUAGACUUAGGGACUACUUCACUGUCUGGUCAGCCAAUUUCUCAAAGGGCCAGGCCAUUUGGAGGCAUCAGCAGCUGACCGCAGCAACUGUUAAGCUUGUCAGCGUGCAUCAGGUUACCCACUAAUGAGAAGUAAUAAAGGUUAUCCCAACUUUUUAAGUGUUUGAUCUUUGUGCACAGUGGGAUUUAAACAUAACGCAUGGAAGGUGAACCAAGAUUGGAAUUGGAAUUUGACCCUUAUGUUAUGUGUGAAUGAGGAUUUAGAAAUAGACACAAAUAAUUAAAAGCUCAAGCUCUGAAACUUGGAUGAAUAGUUUUGGAAUGUAACAUAUUGUGCGCUUAACUGAUAUAGAUAUUGUGGAUUAUUAUUUUUUGUGCAGGGAUGCAGGAUUACAGGAUUACAACCAGGCUUGAAGAUUGUCUAAAAUCAUAGUGGCCAACAAUGGUUUCUGCCAGUAUACAACAAUCGGGCAGCACAAGCUGUAUUUUUGAGAAAUUGCAUCUCGCUCUGGGGAAGCUGCAUCUUUACUAUAAUGUACUAAUGCUGGGUUGAAUCACUGAAUCAUGUUCAAUUAACACAACUGAAUGUAUGACCCUUUGAGAUGCAGUGUUAUUUGUUUUGACACACAGCUCUCAAAAAACGUACCCACCCCAUCUUCAGUGCAGAACGUUAAAACCCCUUGUUCUGUAAAACAAAUUCUCCGGAUUAUUCAAAGCUGUGAGAAUUAAGAUGGAAAAAUCCAUGCGUAAAAUUACCGUCCAUUCAACUUGAGGCAAUAUUUUCCUCUAGAGGCAAAUAUGUUAAUUGAGCUUCCUAAAGUAGCUCAAUCCUCAGGUUAUUUAAUUUCCCCAAAAGCCUUAGCGGUGCUGGGGUUGGUGGGGGGUGUAAAAUUCUUUACACCAGCAAUAUUGUCAUCAAGGGAAAAAUAGCAGCAAUGAGAAGAAAUGGAAAAGAGCAUACUGGUGGAGGUUGAACAACUGUUAGUUCAUGAGGUGUAUAUAUACACACAUAUACAUAAUAAAAUGAAUCAUGAGAUCAUGCAAAAAUUUCUUAGAUGUUAAUGUAAAAGCAAGCUGCUAAAUCACUAGUUUUCUGCCAGAAAAUACAGUUUUGAAUAACUCUAAACUGAGCUUAACCUGCCAAAGAAUCAUCUUCAUAACUGUCAUGUCAUCUAAUUGCUUCUGUCUGUUUUCCCCAAAGGCUGCGUCCAGUUCUGUCACUGGUCCUUAGUGCUCCAGCAGCCUGGUCAAAAAGACAUCCUGGCAGGGUCCCAGGGUGGAUGCAUCGCCCACGCACGCUGCUCUUGCCAGAUCCCAGAAGUCUUUGUGGUGAACCACUGACCGUGCUGCUCCCUAUUUUCUUCCAACCCAGCAAAUAAUGUGUCAGAAAAAGAUUAUUGAUAGCCCAUAAAAGAAGAGGCAGAAUGUUGUUGCCACUCUGCUCCAACUUUAAGGAACAAUACAAGUGCUAAACCAUCAGUUUCAAUGGUGCACUGCUCCUGAAAGAGCACAGCAUUUAUUUUUCACAUUGUUGUUCAGUUUGAAUAAAAGGUGCUACAACUGGAACAUGAACAGACAACAAUUACUUCUAUUUUUUUUAAAUGCUGCUUCAUUUUCCUUUACAUUU
This is a long non-coding RNA of Astatotilapia calliptera (eastern happy), 5957 nucleotides long. The record is from Ensembl. Lineage: Eukaryota; Metazoa; Chordata; Actinopteri; Cichliformes; Cichlidae.